Molecule: ribosomal RNA, 805 nt
Filed under: uncultured bacterium
Lineage: Bacteria
Description: bacterial SSU rRNA
Rfam family: Bacterial small subunit ribosomal RNA
Source: RNAcentral
CCUACGGGGGGCAGCAGUGGGGGAUAUUGCACAAUGGGCGAAAGCCUGAUGCAGCAACGCCGCGUGAGGGAAGACGGUUUUCGGAUUGUAAACCUUUGUCUUCGGUGAAGAAAGAAAUGACGGUAGCCGGGGAGGAAGCCACGGCUAACUACGUGCCAGCAGCCGCGGUAAUACGUAGGUGGCGAGCGUUGUCCGGAAUUACUGGGUGUAAGGGGAGCGCAGGCGGGGGGACAAGUCAGCUGUGAAAACUACCGGCUUAACCGAUAGAUUGCAGUUGAAACUGUUUUUCUUGAGUGGAGUAGAGGCAGGCGGAAUUCCGAGUGUAGCGGUGAAAUGCGUAGAUAUUCGGAGGAACACCGGUGGCGAAGGCGGCCUGCUGGGCUCUAACUGACGCUGAGGCUCGAAAGUGUGGGGAGCAAACAGGAUUAGAUACCCUGGUAGUCCACACUGUAAACGAUGAUUGCUAGGUGUGGGGGGUCUGACCCCUUCGGUGCCGGAGCUAACGCAAUAAGCAAUCCACCUGGGGAGUACGGCCGCAAGGUUGAAACUCAAAGGAAUUGACGGGGGCCCGCACAAGCAGUGGAUUAUGUGGUUUAAUUCGAAGCAACGCGAAGAACCUUACCAGGUCUUGACAUCCGGCUAACGAGGCAGAGAUGCGUCAGGUGCCCUUCGGGGAAAGUCGAGACAGGUGGUGCAUGGUUGUCGUCAGCUCGUGUCGUGAGAUGUCGGGUUAAGUCCCGCAACGAGCGCAACCCCUGCCAUUAGUUGCUACGCGAGAGCACUCUAAUGGGACCGCUACCGACAA